Molecule: ribosomal RNA, 1241 nt
Filed under: metagenome
Description: bacterial LSU rRNA
Rfam family: Bacterial large subunit ribosomal RNA
Source: RNAcentral
UGAAUACGAGAUGCUACGGCGUCGAAGCAGUCUAUGUCAUACUUCCAAGAAAGCUCGCACUGUCAUAAACAAAUAAUGCCUGUACCAUAACCGACACAGGUGGGUAGGUAGAGUAUACUAAGGGGCGCGAGAUAACUCUCUCUAAGGAACUCGGCAAAAUGACUCCGUAACUUCGGGAGAAGGAGUGCCUUAUUUAUAAGGUUGCAAUAACAAGAUCCAAGCAACUGUUUAUCAAAAACACAGGUCUCCGCUAAGUCGUAAGACGAUGUAUGGGGGCUGACGCCUGCCCAGUGCCAGAAGGUUAAAGAAGUUGGUUAGCAUUCGCGAAGCUGAUAACUGAAGCCCUGGUGAACGGCGGCCGUAACAAUAACGGUCCUAAGGUAGCGAAAUUCCUUGUCUGGUAAGUUCCGACCCGCACGAAAGGCGCAAUGAUUUGGAUACUGUCUCGGAGAGGGGCUCGGUGAAAUAGACUUGUCUGUGAAGAUGCGGACUACCUGCACCAGGACAGAAAGACCCUAUGAAGCUUUACUGUAACUUGAGAUUGAAAUUGGACUUUACUUGCGCAGUAUAGGUGGGAGGCGUUGACAAUAUUCUUGCGGGAUUAUUUGAGCCAUCAGUGAGAUACCACUCUUGUAAUGUUAGAUUUCUAACUUUGUAUCAUUAUCUGGUCAAAGGACAGUUUCAGGCGGGCAGUUUGACUGGGGCGGUCGCCUCCUAAACGGUAACGGAGGCGCACAAAGGUUUCCUCUGAACGGGUAGAAAUCGUAUCUAGAGUGUAAAGGCAUAAGGAAGCUUGACUGUGAGACCUACAAGUCGAGCAGGGACGAAAGUCGGUCUUAGUGAUCUGACGGUGCUGAGUGGAAAGGCCGUCACUCAACGGAUAAAAGUUACUCUAGGAUAACAGGCUGAUCUCCCCCAAGAGUUCACAUCGACGGGGAGGUUUGGCACCUCGAUGUCGGCUCAUCGCAUCCUGGGGCGGUAGUACGUCCCAAGGGUUGGGCUGUUCGCCCAUGAAAGCGGUACGCGAGCUGGGUUCAGAACGUCGUGAGACAGUUCGGUCCAUAUCCGGUGUAGGCGUUAGAAUAUUGAGAGGAGCCUUCUUUAGUACGAGAGGACCGAGAAGGACAUACCUCUGGUGUACCAGUUAUCGUGCCAACGGUAAACGCUGGGUAGCUAUGUAUGGAGUGGAUAACCGCUGAAAGCAUCUAAGUGGGAAGCCCACCUCAAGAUAAGUAUUCUCA